This 729-nucleotide ribosomal RNA is filed under the name uncultured bacterium. Its description in RNAcentral is "bacterial SSU rRNA". It matches the Rfam family "Bacterial small subunit ribosomal RNA", at positions 54 to 776 of the family's 1533-position model. The record is from RNAcentral.
CAUGCAAGUCGAGGGGCAGCGCGGGAUAGCAAUAUCCUGGCGGCGACCGGCGGAAGGGUGCGUAACGCGUGAGCGACAUGCCCGUUGCCCGGGGACAACCGGUGGAAACGCCGACUAAUCCCCGAUGGGAUAUUGUGCCGCAUGGCACGAUAUUGAAAGUUACGGCGGCGACGGAUUGGCUCGCGUCCGAUUAGCUUGUUGGCGGGGCAACGGCCCACCAAGGCUACGAUCGGUAGGGGUUCUGAGAGGAAGGCCCCCCACAAUGGGACUGAGACACGGCCCAUACUCCUACGGGAGGCAGCAGUGAGGAAUAUUGGUCAAUGGGCGGAAGCCUGAACCAGCCAUGCCGCGUGCGGGAAGGAGGCCCUAUGGGCUGUGAACCGCUUUUGCCUGGGGGCAAUAAGGGCGUCGCGCACGCCCGAUGAGAGUACCAGGCGAAUAAGCAUCGGCUAACUCCGUGCCAGCAGCCGCGGUAAUACGGGGGAUGCGAGCGUUAUCCGGAUUCAUUGGGUUUAAAGGGUGCGUAGGCUGUGCGUCAAGUCGGGGGUGAAAUUCCGGUGCUCAACACCGGGGCUGCCCUUGAUACUGUCGCGCUGGAGUGCGGAUGCCGCCGGAGGAAUGAGUGGUGUAGCGGUGAAAUGCUUAGAUAUCACUCAGAACACCGAUUGCGAAGGCAUCUGGCGAAUCCGUAACUGACGCUGAGGCACGAAAGCGUGGGGAUAGAACAGG